This 30-nucleotide non-coding RNA is filed under the name Homo sapiens (human). The record is from RNAcentral. Lineage: Eukaryota; Metazoa; Chordata; Mammalia; Primates; Hominidae.
UGAGAUCAAGAGCCACAGAAAGAAGGGGAA